Molecule: ribosomal RNA, 686 nt
Filed under: uncultured bacterium
Lineage: Bacteria
Description: bacterial SSU rRNA
Rfam family: Bacterial small subunit ribosomal RNA
Source: RNAcentral
GGAAGCUUGCUUCCUAUGAAAUCGAGUGGCAAACGGGUGAGUAACGCGUAAACAACCUGCCCCUCGGAUGGGGAUAACAGCCGGAAACGGCUGCUAAUACCGAAUACGAUCUUUUCGUCGCAUGACGGAAAGAAGAAAGGAUGGCCUCUAUACAAAGCUAUCGCCGAAGGAGGGGUUUGCGUCUGAUUAGCUGGUUGGAGGGGUAACGGCCCAACAAGGCGAUGAUCAGUAGCCGGUCUGAGAGGAUGAACGGCCACAUUGGGACUGAGACACGGCCCAGACUCCUACGGGAGGCAGCAGUGGGGAAUCUUCCGCAAUGGACGAAAGUCUGACGGAGCAACGCCGCGUGAGUGAAGAAGGUCUUCGGAUUGUAAAGCUCUGUUAUACGGGACGAAAAAGACGGAUGCCAACAGUAUCCGUCCGUGACGGUACCGUAAGAGAAAGCCACGGCUAACUACGUGCCAGCAGCCGCGGUAAUACGUAGGUGGCAAGCGUUGUCCGGAAUUAUUGGGCGUAAAGGGCGCGCAGGCGGUUCGGUAAGUCUGUCUUAAAAGUGCGGGGCUUAACCCCGUGAGGGGACGGAAACUGUCGAACUUGAGUGUCGGAGAGGAAAGCGGAAUUCCUAGUGUAGCGGUGAAAUGCGUAGAUAUUAGGAGGAACACCGGUGGCGAAAGCGGCUUUCUGGA